Molecule: ribosomal RNA, 431 nt
Filed under: Escherichia coli
Lineage: Bacteria; Pseudomonadati; Pseudomonadota; Gammaproteobacteria; Enterobacterales; Enterobacteriaceae
Also listed under: 1 other name
Description: bacterial SSU rRNA
Rfam family: Bacterial small subunit ribosomal RNA
Source: RNAcentral
GUUGCCAGCGGUCCGGCCGGGAACUCAAAGGAGACUGCCAGUGAUAAACUGGAGGAAGGUGGGGAUGACGUCAAGUCAUCAUGGCCCUUACGACCAGGGCUACACACGUGCUACAAUGGCGCAUACAAAGAGAAGCGACCUCGCGAGAGCAAGCGGACCUCAUAAAGUGCGUCGUAGUCCGGAUUGGAGUCUGCAACUCGACUCCAUGAAGUCGGAAUCGCUAGUAAUCGUGGAUCAGAAUGCCACGGUGAAUACGUUCCCGGGCCUUGUACACACCGCCCGUCACACCAUGGGAGUGGGUUGCAAAAGAAGUAGGUAGCUUAACCUUCGGGAGGGCGCUUACCACUUUGUGAUUCAUGACUGGGGUGAAGUCGUAACAAGGUAACCGUAGGGGAACCUGCGGUUGGAUCACCUCCUUACCUUAAAGAAGC